Long non-coding RNA from Cyprinodon tularosa, 396 nucleotides. RefSeq lists it as uncharacterized. The transcript has 2 exons. The record is from RefSeq and is a predicted model, not a curated record. Lineage: Eukaryota; Metazoa; Chordata; Actinopteri; Cyprinodontiformes; Cyprinodontidae.
AGUAGAGACAUGUUCUGCCCGCUGCUGGAAGGUUCUGAUGACUGAGAGUUUGUGUUCCAGUGGGGGGUGUGAGUCAGAAAGAAGAUACUGGUCUGUAGGUCAGAAGAUUCAACAGAGGAGACAGAGACUUCCUGACCAGGAUGCCCCGCCCCCUGCAGCUCACCUGUACUCACCUGGACCCCCCAUGAAGAAUCAUGAUAACAGCAACUAGAACCUCCUGUUCUGUUUAGAUCCGUUAGUCUGAGUCACUGUUUACCUUUACUGACAUAGAAAGUGUUUAUAGAUCAGUUUCUGUCUCCUUUAACCUCCUGAUUGUUUCUACUGUUUUCUAUAUUUUCAGUGUUUCUGUAAAAAUCUGGUAAAACAUCAGUGAAUAAAUGUAGAUCUAGAAGCUGA